This is a small nuclear RNA of Otolemur garnettii (small-eared galago), 104 nucleotides long. NCBI's taxonomy places the organism in Eukaryota, Metazoa, Chordata, Mammalia, Primates, Galagidae. The record is from Ensembl.
GUGCUUUUUUAGGCAGCAGAUACAGGCAAAUUGAAACCAUUCAGAGAUUAGCACGGCCCUUGUACAAAAAUGACACAAAAAUUUGAGAAUCAUUUUAUAUUUUU